Molecule: long non-coding RNA, 1236 nt
Filed under: Canis lupus familiaris (dog)
Lineage: Eukaryota; Metazoa; Chordata; Mammalia; Carnivora; Canidae
Description: lncRNA (ENSCAFG00040006436.1)
Source: RNAcentral
AUCCAUCCCCGCUCUGCGCGUCCCCUGGCACACGCUCUGCCUCCCGCCCGGCCGCUCCACGUCUCUCCGCCGCGGUGGGAGCGCUCCCGCGCGCAGCCCCUCUCCGCCCGCCGCGUCGGCCCGCAGGGAAGCCAGAGGGCGAGGCCCCGGGAAGGAAGCAAAGCCUUCGACAGGCGCGAGGAACGCCCGGUGCAGCCUCCGCCCGACGGAGCGCGCUCCCUCCCAGCGCGGGGCCAGCGGGCAGAGGCCGGCGCGGGCACCGCGGCCAAGUUCAGACUGCCCCCUCCGGCUGGCGCGCGCGGAGCUCCGCACGGUCCCCGGAGCGCCCCGCAGGGAGGCGACGCGAGCCCGGGGCGUCUGCACGCGCUGAGCGCUCUCCCUGCACCCCGGGGAGGAGCGCCUCGCGCCACCCACCCGCACCCCGAGCCCCCUCCUCGGGAGCUCGGGCGCCUCCUCGCCGCUCCGCUUUCCCUCGCUCACAGCCUCCUCCCGCCCCCCCUCCCGGGGCCCCGCGCCUCCCCUCCCCCCCCGGCCCCCCGGCCCGGGCUCUCAAGGACCAGCCUGCGCUCCUGGCGCCCUCAUGUCUUCACGGGACUCCCCGCGCCGGUUGACGUGGUGUCUCUACCGGAUUUCCAGGCCAGACCUCAGCUCCGGCGGCAGCAUCAGCCCGGCCCAUCUCGUGCUCCCAGGAGCUGCGCCCCGAGAAGGCGCAGAGCGCGGCCGCCGCCGCUGAGCCGCCCGCCGCGCCCCGGGCCCGCGCAGAGCGCGGCGCGCGCGGCCGUGUCACCCCCCCACCCAAGGCAGCGGCGGCUGCCCGGACCUCGGUUUCGGGGGUGCAGGGCAUCGGCGGGGGAGCUGUCGGCGUCCCUCGCCCUCCUCGAGGCGGCGGCGGCGGGAGUCUUGGCCACCGCCUCCCGCGCGCCCUCGCUGCCCCAGGAUUGCGAACUCGUGCCCCUGACCUGUUGGGCGGGGCUCUGCGCUCCUGCCCUCGGCCCGGAUGGGGCUCCUGGCUGGGACUCGGGGCUCCUGGAGUUAAUGUCCAGCUGGGGGUCUGCGGAGACCGGAUCCGAGGUAAGUGGGAGAGCGGCCCGGGGCGGAAGGGGGCGGAUGGCGCCGGGGUCGCGGGCGGGCGGGCUGCGGGGCGCGCGGGACGCGCGGGGCGGAGGGGGCGCGCGGGGCGGAGGGGGCGCGGCUGGACCCCCGCGCGGCCGGGAAGUCGGAAGGAGGAAAGACUAG